RNAcentral lists this ribosomal RNA (477 nucleotides) under uncultured bacterium. Its description in RNAcentral is "partial 16S ribosomal RNA". It matches the Rfam family "Bacterial small subunit ribosomal RNA", at positions 28 to 523 of the family's 1533-position model. The record is from RNAcentral.
GAUGAACGCUGGCGGCGUGCUUAACACAUGCAAGUCGAACGGUAAGGCCCUUCGGGGUACACGAGUGGCGAACGGGUGAGUAACACGUGGGUGAUCUGCCCUGCACUUCGGGAUAAGCCUGGGAAACUGGGUCUAAUACCGGAUAGGACCACUGCCUGCAUGGGUGGUGGUGGAAAGCUUUUGCGGUGUGGGAUGGGCCCGCGGCCUAUCAGCUUGUUGGUGGGGUGAUGGCCUACCAAGGCGACGACGGGUAGCCGGCCUGAGAGGGUGACCGGCCACACUGGGACUGAGAUACGGCCCAGACUCCUACGGAGGCAGCAAUGGGGAAUAUUGCACAAUGGGCGCAAGCCUGAUGCAGCGACGCCGCGUGAGGGAUGACGGCCUUCGGGUUGUAAACCUCUUUCAGCACCGACGAAGCGCAAGUGACGGUAGGUGCAGAAGAAGGACCGGCCAACUACGUGCCAGCAGCCGCCGUAA